Molecule: long non-coding RNA, 1171 nt
Organism: Clupea harengus (Atlantic herring)
Lineage: Eukaryota; Metazoa; Chordata; Actinopteri; Clupeiformes; Clupeidae
Source: Ensembl
UCCAGAAAUUAUGAAUUGCACUGGUGCUCUACAUGAUCUACAGUCAUCAGGAUCCCACGCCUUUGAAUUAUUGAUUCGGAAUGGUUCAUCAGGGACUAAGAUUUGUAACAAUGAUAACAUGUGCAAAGUGCCCUGGUUAUGUCAGUUUUUUUAGUGCAGUGAUAUAAAUAUGUGAGGUCUUUAUGCAAACAGACCAUUCCGCUGCAAUCUUAUCCCGCCCCCACACCUCAAGUCUGUGUUACCUUAACACACACUACGUUGCACACUGCACAUUGCACAUUCACUUUUGCACUCCUGCGCUGCAUUUUGCAUUUUACCUUCUACUUUACUUUUUUUAUAUAAAUGUGUUAUAUAUUUGUAUCCUAUAUACUGUGUUUUAUCUGAAGUACUUCUCUUAUGUGUAGUACUUAGUGUGUUUUUAUUUUCUGUGUAGUACUUAUUGUGUUUGUAUGUUUUAUGUUUUGUGUAGUACUUAUUGUGUUUGUAUGUUUUAUGUCCACUGUAUGCACCUAUACACCAGAGCAAAUUCCAGGUAGGUGUAAACCUACUUGGCAAUAAAUACAAUUCUGAUUCUGAUUCUGAAUCUAUAUAUUAUAUGUGUAUUAUAAUAACAAAAUGAUUGCAAAAGCAAAACAUUAGCGAACACGGCAAACACUUCUCUUCCAUAAUGCUCUAUGAGAAUAGCAUUACUGGCUGCAUUCUGAGGUUUGAGCUGUGUGGUGCUCUCUGAGUAUUGAUGUCUAUUGAAGUAGCGUACCAUACCUGUAUGUGGGAAGACAAGAAACAUCAGAGCACCGAAGAACGAUUUUCUUGGUGUCAAUCUUUGAGCCAUCUCUGUUUCUUUGUCUUCUCUCCACUGUUUUUCCUCUGUUCUGUUCUAUCUACCUCUCUUAACUUCACACGCGUGUUGAAUCGAAGCAGGUCGGGCCUAGUCCAUUUAGACUGCUUUCUUUUGCCUUUCUUUCAAUUUCUUCUACUCGCUCUUCUCCUCUGAUCACUGUCCCUGAGAGGAGGAAGUGAACCAUACAGACAGAUGUGUUCAGUAUUUUUUUCAUUGUGAAGUAGGAGUUUCCAUUCUACAUCCUGUCACUCUCUUUACCCAUUACAACACACACACACACACACACACAUAUACAGGUACUCUCUCUCUCACUCACUCUCUCUAGGUUGU